CCGACAGCCUCUGCUUCGAUAUCCCAAGUAGCGCGGGACCGUGAAAACUGGCGUGAAUACUGCGGGGACCACCCCGUAAGUCCUAAGUAAUUCCUUGGCGACCGGAUAGUGAACCAGUACCGUGAGGGAAAGGUGAAAAGUACCCCGGGAGGGGAGUGAAAUAGUACCUGAAACCGUUGGUUUACAAGCAGUCAAAGCGUCGUCAUGCCUUCGGGCAUGGCCGCGAUGGCGUGCCUUUUGAAGAAUGAGCCUGCGAGUUAUGGUGUGUGGCAAGGUUAACCCGUCGUGGGGUAGCCGCAGCGAAAGCAAGUCUGAAGAGGGCGUAGAGUCGCAUGCUGUAGACCCGAAGCCAAGUGAUCUAUCCAUGGCCAGGCUGAAGCGGAGGUAAGACUCCGUGGAGGGCCGAACCCACGUCAGUUAAAAAUGGCGGGGAUGAGCUGUGGAUAGGGGUGAAAGGCUAAUCAAACUUGGCGAUAGCUGGUUCUCCUCGAAAUGCACCUAGGUGCAGCGUCGUGCGUUCAGUACCGGAGGUAGAGCACUGGAUGGGUAAGGG
This 553-nucleotide ribosomal RNA is filed under the name uncultured bacterium. RNAcentral describes it as "bacterial LSU rRNA". It matches the Rfam family "Bacterial large subunit ribosomal RNA", at positions 385 to 924 of the family's 2925-position model. The record is from RNAcentral.